ACUGGAUUGCCCGAGAAGUUCUUUCAGGUUUUCCCAGAAGAUGCUACAGAAAGACCCGAAUGAACUUUUGGGCCAGCCCAGU
RNAcentral lists this microRNA precursor (82 nucleotides) under Ovis aries (sheep). RNAcentral describes it as "miRNA (ENSOARG00000023127.1)". Lineage: Eukaryota; Metazoa; Chordata; Mammalia; Artiodactyla; Bovidae. The record is from RNAcentral.